AAAGUUUGAUCCUGGCUUGUUUGUUUAGCUUUAUUAUAAUAUUAAAUAUAAGUUUUUGUGUGAUUUAUUUUUCUAAAAGAUUAAUUUUGUUUUUGUUUUUAGUUUUUAAUUUUGGUUAUUGUAUAUUUAUUUAACCAGUUAUUGUUUAAUUUGAAUAGUAAAAUUUUGUGCCAGCAUAUGCGGUUAUACAAUUUAUUCUAGUUAAUUUUUUUGGCUAAUAUUAUUUAAUUUAUUUGAAAAUUAGUUUUGAUCUAUUAAGUGAAAUUUUAGUUUAUUUAUAAUUUUUGGGUUUUUAAUUAUAUGAAAUUCUAUUUUUAGACUAGGAUUAGAUACCCUAUUAUUUUGAAUGUAAAUUU
RNAcentral lists this ribosomal RNA (356 nucleotides) under Stenocoris tipuloides. RNAcentral describes it as "partial small subunit ribosomal RNA". Lineage: Eukaryota; Metazoa; Arthropoda; Insecta; Hemiptera; Alydidae. The record is from RNAcentral.